RNAcentral lists this ribosomal RNA (1009 nucleotides) under Staphylococcus aureus. RNAcentral describes it as "partial 23S ribosomal RNA". It matches the Rfam family "Bacterial large subunit ribosomal RNA", at positions 444 to 1461 of the family's 2925-position model. Lineage: Bacteria; Bacillati; Bacillota; Bacilli; Caryophanales; Staphylococcaceae. The record is from RNAcentral. RNAcentral also lists the same sequence under 6 other names.
CUGGGAGGACCAUCUCCUAAGGCUAAAUACUCUCUAGUGACCGAUAGUGAACCAGUACCGUGAGGGAAAGGUGAAAAGCACCCCGGAAGGGGAGUGAAAUAGAACCUGAAACCGUGUGCUUACAAGUAGUCAGAGCCCGUUAAUGGGUGAUGGCGUGCCUUUUGUAGAAUGAACCGGCGAGUUACGAUUUGAUGCAAGGUUAAGCAGUAAAUGUGGAGCCGUAGCGAAAGCGAGUCUGAAUAGGGCGUUUAGUAUUUGGUCGUAGACCCGAAACCAGGUGAUCUACCCUUGGUCAGGUUGAAGUUCAGGUAACACUGAAUGGAGGACCGAACCGACUUACGUUGAAAAGUGAGCGGAUGAACUGAGGGUAGCGGAGAAAUUCCAAUCGAACCUGGAGAUAGCUGGUUCUCUCCGAAAUAGCUUUAGGGCUAGCCUCAAGUGAUGAUUAUUGGAGGUAGAGCACUGUUUGGACGAGGGGCCCCUCUCGGGUUACCGAAUUCAGACAAACUCCGAAUGCCAAUUAAUUUAACUUGGGAGUCAGAACAUGGGUGAUAAGGUCCGUGUUCGAAAGGGAAACAGCCCAGACCACCAGCUAAGGUCCCAAAAUAUAUGUUAAGUGGAAAAGGAUGUGGCGUUGCCCAGACAACUAGGAUGUUGGCUUAGAAGCAGCCAUCAUUUAAAGAGUGCGUAAUAGCUCACUAGUCGAGUGACACUGCGCCGAAAAUGUACCGGGGCUAAACAUAUUACCGAAGCUGUGGAUUGUCCUUUGGACAAUGGUAGGAGAGCGUUCUAAGGGCGUUGAAGCAUGAUCGUAAGGACAUGUGGAGCGCUUAGAAGUGAGAAUGCCGGUGUGAGUAGCGAAAGACGGGUGAGAAUCCCGUCCACCGAUUGACUAAGGUUUCCAGAGGAAGGCUCGUCCGCUCUGGGUUAGUCGGGUCCUAAGCUGAGGCCGACAGGCGUAGGCGAUGGAUAACAGGUUGAUAUUCCUGUACCACCUAUAAUCGUUUUA